AACGAACGCUGGCGGCGGGCCUCAUACAUGCAAGUCGAGCGCGAAAGUCCGCAAGGAUGAGUAAAGCGGCGCACGGGUGAGUAACACGUGGAUAAUCUACCCUUUGGAUUGGAAUAACCUGUCGAAAGACGGGCUAAUGCCGAGUAAGCUUACGAGUUCGUGAAGUUCUUGUAAGGAAAGAUGGCGCAAGCUAUCGCCGAUGGAUGAGUCUGCGUCCCAUUAGUUAGUUGGUGGGGUAAUGGCUUACCAAGACUAUGAUGGGUACCUGGUCUGAGAGGAUGACCAGGCACACUGGAACUGAAACACGGUCCGGACUCCUACGGGAGGCAGCAGUAGGGAAUAUUGCGCAAUGGACGAAAGUCUGACGCAGCCACGCCGCGUGAGUGAGGAAGGCCUCGGUUGUAAG
Molecule: ribosomal RNA, 406 nt
Filed under: uncultured bacterium
Lineage: Bacteria
Description: bacterial SSU rRNA
Rfam family: Bacterial small subunit ribosomal RNA
Source: RNAcentral